GACGAACGCUGGCGGCGUGCUUAACACAUGCAAGUCGAACGGAAAGGCCCUGCUUUUGUGGGGUGCUCGAGUGGCGAACGGGUGAGUAACACGUGAGUAACCUGCCCUUGACUUUGGGAUAACUUCAGGAAACUGGGGCUAAUACCGGAUAUGAGCUCCUGCUGCAUUGUGGGGGUUGGAAAGUUUCGGCGGUUGGGGAUGGACUCUCGGCUUAUCAGCUUGUUGGUGGGGUAGUGGCUUACCAAGGCUUUGACGGGUAGCCGGCCUGGGAGGGUGACCGGCCACCUUGGGACUGCGAUACGGCGCAGACUCCUACGGGAGGCAGCAGUGGGGAAUAUUGCACAAUGGGCGGACGCGUGAUGCAGCAACGCCGCGUGCGGGAUGACGGCCUUCGGGUUGUAAACCGAUUUGGCAUGUGACGAAGAGUGCGUGACGGUAAUGGGUAAAGAAGCCACGGCUAACUACGUG
This 468-nucleotide ribosomal RNA is filed under the name uncultured bacterium. RNAcentral describes it as "partial 16S ribosomal RNA". It matches the Rfam family "Bacterial small subunit ribosomal RNA", at positions 28 to 507 of the family's 1533-position model. The record is from RNAcentral.